AGGAAACUGAUCGUAUGGAUGUGGUAGAAGAUGGAAUUGGAAAUAGUAGGAAGAAGGGGAAGAAGAAAGAGAUGGAUGGGGUGGGAGAGGUAAUGGAUUGUCUGGAUAUGGAAGAAGAUGGAAUUGGAAAGAGUAGGAAGAAGGGGGAGAAAAGUAAAGAGAAGGAUGGGGCGGAAGAGAUGAAUGAUCAGACUAAUGUGGAAAACGAUCGAAACUUGGAAUCUACAGUAGAAAAUAAGAAAAAGAAGAAUAAGGGAAAUGACAUGGUUGCUGGCGGGGAAUCAAUGACUGAUCCUCAAGAUAAAGAAUAUAAAGUUGAAAAACGGAAGAAGAAGAAGAAAACAAAAACCUUUGAGAAUCAAGAUGCAUUAAAUAAGAAGACUGAAACUGAAGCUAAAGAGAGGAACAACAUUGCAGGGAAUGUGGAGAAGAAGAAAAAGAAGAGGAAAAGGACGGUGGAAGAAGAAGAUGAUAAUGACAAAGGACAGACGAAUGGUUGCUAUGGAGAAGAUCAUGUAAAUUCUUUACCUGAUGACAAUGGUAUGGUUACUAUAGGGAAGGUUAAGAUGAUGGAGAAGAAGAAGAAGCGGCAGAGGAAGAAUGAGGAAAUAACGGGAAAGGACGGGCUUUUAAGUAAGGCAAAAGAUAAUGAAACCACGAAUGUUUCAGGAAAGGAUAAGACCAAGUCAGUAAAUAAGGAUCCUGAAAAUCCUAAAUCAAAAGUAAAGAAGAAAGUUAGGUUUUCUAAUGAUUUAGAGGUUUUUCCAUCUAAUAGCCUAGUUCAAGGUAAGAGAUUCACUCCGGAAGAAGAUGAGAAGUUGAGAGCAGCUGUUAAAGAGUAUAUACAGUCACAUUGCUUAGGUGAAAAAGGUGUGGAAAUGGUCAUGAAUUGUAUUUCUCACCGACAAGUAAGGAACUGUUGGAAUGAAAUAAAUAAAGCGUUACCAUAUAGGCCUAAAUCAGCGAUAUAUUGCCGUGCUCAUACAUUGUUUGAGAGAGGUGAGACACAUGAAUGGACUGAAGAAGAAAAAGAAAUGCUUCUGGAACAGUAUAAAAAGCAUGGUAACAAUUGGAAGCUGAUGGCUAAAGAAUUUAAGAGACAUAGACUUCAGGUGAAGGAUACAUAUCGUAGAAUAAAAAGGGAACGAAAUAGAGGACAUUGGUCCCAAGAAGAAUACCAAACCUUGUUUGACAACGUGAAUAUUGAUUUGCGAGCUAAGCUUGAUGAAGAGAAGAAAUCGAAGCAUGGAAUGUUACGAGAUAAUAUAUGUUGGACUGCAAUCAGUGACAAAUUGUCAACUAGAGCCGACUCACUUUGCUGUAUGAAAUGGUACAAUCAGUUAACAUCUCCUAUGGUUGCUCAGGGUAUAUGGGCUGAUUCUGAUGAUUACCGUCUGCUUGAUGCACUUUUUAACUUAGAUGCAUGCUGCAUAGAGGAUGUAGAUUGGGAUGACCUGAUGGAUCAUAGGUCUGGUGAUGUAUGUAGGAAGCGUUGGGACCAAAUGGUGCUUCACAUAGGCUUACAUGGGGUCAAGUCUUUUUCUGAGCAAGUUGAAGUUCUGGCAAAGCGAUACCGUCCAGAACUAACUGAAGCACGGGAGGCUUGGGACAGCAAACCUUUGGUCCCAUGACAUAGCAGACAGUUAUAUACUGCACAAAUUACUUCUCUGGAUAUGACAAAGCCUGGUCAGUCUUAUGUUCUAUCUAUUCUUUAUAUGUCAAUCUUAUUUUCUUUCUAUUAUUUAUAUGUCAAUCAGUAUCUUUUUUUAUAGUUGAUAAAGUAUAUCCUAUAUGGGAAGGUGGAGGUCAGAACUAGACGUAUACACUUGGUUAAUUGUUGCAAAAUUAACUGUUUUGGCCCUCCAAAUGCUUACAACAUGUUCUUAUGAAACAUGAAACGAAACAAUGAAAGCUAGUUUCUGGUAGCUAUUUCUACUUCAGGAUAGAGGAAAAACCAACUAUGUACAGAAAACUGAAAAUUCAAUUGUUGAUUUCAUUUAUAUAAGGAACACCUAGAAUCACAAAUAUCUCGAGGUCAUGCCUAUGGUCUAACCUUAUUUCUGUUUUUACUACGUAAUUAUAUAGUGCUCAUGGUGAUUUUGUAAUAACAACACCGUAUUAUAUUGUCUCUGAUCUCUGAUGACUCAGUUAUACUGUUAUUCUUCUCAUAAAUAGAGAUGGAGCUAGUAGAGCAAGGUCCAGAUUUCAUAGCACUGUUCCUCCAGUUCAAAGCUUCUGCGAUGGACCUUAUCUCUGUUCUUGAGCAGGUAAUAUUGGAACUUUUUUUGUUGGAUUUAAAAAGAGAUAUUAUUAAUCACAGGCCAUGUAGUUACUUAUUACUGUUAAAUGAGUAGCAUGUUCCUAGGUUCUGUAUUAAAGCAAACAUAACUGCACAGUUACUUGCCACCUUUCACCUUUCCAUCUAACUUCCCCUAUAUUCUGUUCUGAAAUGUGUCAUAUGUUGUUUAAUUAGAGUUCUGCAAAAGAUUACCAAUUGUUCCAGGCUUAUAAACUCCUUUAUAAUUAAUAUUAUUUGCCUUGAAUCUCUGUUUGUGAUAUGCUUCUACUUCUGGGUCUCAUUUUCUGAUUACAAUAUCUAAAGACGUCUGAUUGUACGAUAUUCUCUUCUUUUUUUGUCAAAUUAAGUGUUGUGUCAACUAAUCAUAGCUCCUUUAGCAGCAAAUCUGAUAUACAGUAAAGCAGCUACUGUUAUGCUGAAGCAUGAUACUUUGGAGUUUAGAAUUGAAUUAGAAAGCUAUAUGUUAAAACUCGUGUUCAAUUUAUAUGCAAAUAUAAAUGACUUUUAAUAAAAAGCUUUUAUAAUUUUAUCCUUGUCUAAUCCUGUGUUACUUGGACUCUCCUGUUUCGCAGCUCCGAAGUUGUGGUUAGUAAUCUAUAAAUAAUCAACUUUAACAUAAUGUUUUGGAGGCAUAACAGAUCUAUAUAGUUGUAACAUUUAAGAGUGUCCUGUCACUGUUCUAGGUUUUCUGUCCACUUGUAGAUUAAUAUUUCUGUUAAGUUAUGCUUUGCUUGUUACAUGAGAUCAAAUGAAAUAUAGUUUACCAGUAUACAUUAUGAUUAUUGUCCACAAAUGUUUGGCCAUUAAACAGUAUACUGUCAUAGAUGUUACGGUGCCCAGUAUUUUACAAUUGUCACUAAUCGCUUGAAUGCCUUGGAGAUGAGGUGCCCUGAUUUUUUGUGUCUACACUCUUACUACUGCUUUCAUAAGGAGCAAUUCAAUUAUUUCCUUUACUUACUACUGAUAAAUAUUAAUAAAAAACACUUUAUAUAAAUAACCUAAGACUGUGUUUGGGAAUAUAGAAUUUUUUUGAGUGACAUGAAUUGAUUUGUCAUUUUAAAUUCUCAAAUUUAUGCUUGAAUUUAAAAGAAUGAAUGUAAAAUUUGAUCAAAUCAAAAUCCAAAGUUCUCUUGAUUAUCCAAUCAUGUCAUUUGUCCAAAUUCAGGAUUCAAAAUGAAAUCCAAGUUCCCAAACAAAUCAUAUGUUACAAAAAUGUAUAAUUAGUUCUAAAUUACAAAGUAGCACAUAAUUUGCAUGAUAUCUUAAAGAACAUGAGGUAGGUGAUCAAGAUUUCCUAACAAAACAUAAAACUACGUCCUGGAAACUACCCUUGCAUCGUAGCCAACAGCUAUAGAUACCACUGGACAUUGGCUUUUCAAAGAUUCUCUACACAUAGGACUGUCAUUCAGACUACGCGAUGAAUACAGAUAAGAUAAGUUACAUAAAAGAUGUGUCAUUACUUCUAAUUCACAAAGUAACACAUAAUCUGCGUGGUACCUGAAAUAACAUGAAAGUGUGAUCAAGAUUUUAAAACAAAAACAAAAAACGUCCUGGAAUCUACAGUUCCAUCAUAAUAGCAGCUAUAGAUACCACUGGAAGUUGGCAUUUUAAAGAUGCUCUACAUGUAGGACUGUCAUUCAGCCUAAGCCACUAAAUGAGGCACCAAAACAAGCAUAACCCAUAGUUUUGCAUCAUAUAUGUUCGUGAUUUCUAGGUGGCAGAGAUUUACCAUGGGUUUAUUUUCUCUUGGGCAGGAGCAUCCCCACCCCAAAAAAAAAAAAUCAAAAAAAAAUCAAGGGCCUCUAAUCUUAAUAUUAAGAAUUUUCUUGUUUAUAGUUAUACAUAAUAAUGUUGAUGAUUAACAAAAAAAUUCGAUUCUUAUCAAUCCUUAACUUCUACAAACUUUAACUGUAAUUUUCUCUCUUCUUUCUUUUUCUAAUUCAUUCUUAUUGAUUCUCCCACAACUUGAUUGCAACUACAAUUUUUGCGUAGGUAUUACAAAUUUCUCAACAUUUUAUAUCUGGUACUACAUUUAUCUUAAAGUAAUGCUCAAAAUUUAUGGAAUAUUCUGGGCUUAUAAGUUAUAAGCACUUAUUUGUACCGUUUGUGUAAAAAGUUAAGAAGCACUUAAAAGAAGUUAGGAUUGCUAGCUUUUGUUUCAGGACUUCUGCUUAUUUCCCAAACAGUUUAAUCACUUAUAAGUCUUACCUUGCUUCUGACUUCUACUUCAUUUUUUUAUUGUAAGCAAAAAGCAUUUAUUUUAAGCUCAGUCAAACGGCCACUAUAUCGAAAGAUCAAGAUAGAGAUUUUAUGGGAAAUUUAUUUGUAAAGACUCUAAUAUAGUUAUAUGCAGUAUAUGAUUAUUAGAGCUCGAGUUUUUCAUAGAACAAGUUUUCAAAAUUAAUUUCCUCAACAAUACGAGUUGGAUUUUCAAACGAUUUUAUCUUUUUUCAAGUCUCCCACUUUUGUUAAAAGUGUUUUACGUUUUUACUGAGUUUAUAUCUCAAGGUUUAGAUUAUUUUACUCAAAAUAUAACAUUCAAUAAGAUCAGUUUUCCCAAAUUUGAGUGACAAUACGAUCAGUUUUCCCAAAUUUGAAGUUAUUUGUGUGAAUGGUAGUAUUAAACAUGGUCAUGACUUCUAUUACGUCAUUUCAAUGACCAUUUCUUCCACAGCGGAUCAAGUUGAAAGCAUGGAAAUCAUCAGUUUCAAUGUCGUUUAACAUGUUGGUUUAUAUUUUUUUUUAAUUAGCAUUUAAAACAACUAAUUUAAUUUAAAAGUUAACUUUUAAUUGAUUUAGAUAAAUAUAGCAGUAAUUUCAAUUUUAUUAUAUAUAUAUAUAUAUAUCACUAAUAAUAAUAGAAUAAUAAAUUGUUUUGUAUUAUUUUUUUAUAGAUAAACUCGAUCAAACACAUGCCAAAUCUUCGAUUUUAUCGGAUUAAACAUUAAUCUUAUCAUCAAACGAAAAACGUAAGAAACUCUACGUAAGAGAAGUUUAAAAAUCUUAAUCGAAAAUUUGACAUUGAAUUUUACUAAAAUUUGGUGCAACUUAAGCCAGAAACGAAUCAAAAAUAAUAACUUUGAAACGAAUCAUUUAAUUAUGAUUUUUUCUUCUCUCUAACUAAGCUUUUUAGGUUUAUUUCUUAAUUUUAAAUGCCGCUGCUUAUAUAUAAGCGCUAGUUCUUCCCCCAAACAAAACCCUAAUUUAAAACCCUCACAUUGCGUUUCAAUCUGAUUUGAUUCUCAUCAAGGUACUAACUUUUUAUGUUUUGUGCGUUCUUUAUGCUCUUGUUUAUGUUUCUGUGCAAUCAAUUUCAUAUUUAUGUUGUAAUUACUUGAAUCUUGAGCAUUUUCAUAAUAUGCGUUCUAGCUUAAUUAAUCUUGCACAUUUGUGUUUUAUUUAAGGGUAUUAGAGUAUUAACAUGUAAUUAGUUAGUUGUAUGUAAGUAGGAUAUGAAAUUUUAUGUGGGUGUGUUGGUGGGUGAAUUAGUACUUUUUUGGGUUCGAAUUUUUCGAUGUGGUUUAAGUUAGGAUAGAAUGGGAGUUAAUGUAAAGGGGCUAUGUGUUGUUUUUGAGUUAGUGUGGUGUGAAAUGUUUGUUAGAGGUUGAUGUUUGGGAUUUAGUUUUUCGGGGAGAAUGUUGGUGUUGAAUUUUUGUCGGUGCUGGUGAAUUUGUUUGUUGCUACUGACGUGUUUGUAUUUUUGAUGUUUUGGCAGAAGGGAGAAGUGGACAGAGGGCAAGUGAACAUGAGUGUGUGGGUGGGAGAGAGUGAUGUGGUUGGGAAGAGUGGGAAGAAGGGUAAGAGAAGUCAGAAGAUUGAGAAAGGCGGGGAGGAAGAGGUACGUGAUCAUCUGGAUGUGGAAGAAGGUGGAAUUGUAAAGAGUGGGAAGAAGGGGAAGAGAAGUAAGAAGAAAGAGAUGGAUGGGGUGGAAGAGGAAACUGAUCGUAUGGAUGUGGUAGAAGAUGGAAUUGGAAAUAGUAGGAAGAAGGGGAAGAAGAAAGAGAUGGAUGGGGUGGGAGAGGUAAUGGAUUGUCUGGAUAUGGAAGAAGAUGGAAUUGAAAAUAGUAGGAAGAAGGGGAGGAAAAGUAAGAAUAAAGAGAUGGAUGGGGUGGGAGAGGUAACUGAUUGUAUGGAUGUGGAAGAAGAUGGAAUUGGAAAGAGUAGGAAGAAGGGGGAGAAAAGUAAAGAGAAGGAUGGGGCGGAAGAGAUGAAUGAUCAGACUAAUGUGGAAAACGAUCGAAACUUGGAAUCUACAGUAGAAAAUAAGAAAAAGAAGAAUAAGGGAAAUGACAUGGUUGCUGGCGGGGAAUCAAUGACUGAUCCUCAAGAUAAAGAAUAUAAAGUUGAAAAACGGAAGAAGAAGAAGAAAACAAAAACCUUUGAGAAUCAAGAUGCAUUAAAUAAGAAGACUGAAACUGAAGCUAAAGAGAGGAACAACAUUGCAGGGAAUGUGGAGAAGAAGAAAAAGAAGAGGAAAAGGACGGUGGAAGAAGAAGAUGAUAAUGACAAAGGACAGACGAAUGGUU
RNAcentral lists this long non-coding RNA (6825 nucleotides) under Daucus carota (carrot). RNAcentral's name for it is "long non-coding RNA (DCAR_LNC004825)". The record is from RNAcentral. Lineage: Eukaryota; Viridiplantae; Streptophyta; Magnoliopsida; Apiales; Apiaceae.